This is a non-coding RNA of Mus musculus (house mouse), 77 nucleotides long. The record is from Rfam. Lineage: Eukaryota; Metazoa; Chordata; Mammalia; Rodentia; Muridae.
CACCAUUUUUGGCAAUGGUAGAACUCACACCGGUAAGGUAAUGGGACCCGGUGGUUCUAGACUUGCCAACUAUGGUG